RNAcentral lists this non-coding RNA (33 nucleotides) under Brassica napus (rape). The record is from RNAcentral. Lineage: Eukaryota; Viridiplantae; Streptophyta; Magnoliopsida; Brassicales; Brassicaceae. RNAcentral also lists the same sequence under 1 other name.
CAAGUCUGGUGCCAGCAGCCGCGGUAAUUCCAG